UACAGAGGUGGCAAGCGUUGUUCGGAAUUACUGGGCGUAAAGGGCGCGUAGGCGGCCAUCUAAGUCAGACGUGAAAUCCCCCGGCUUAACCUGGGAACUGCGUCUGAUACUGGAAGGCUUGAGUAUGGGAGAGGGAUGCAGAAUUCCAGGUGUAGCGGUGAAAUGCGUAGAUAUCUGGAGGAAUACCGGUGGCGAAGGCGGCAUCCUGGACCGACAUUGACGCUGAACGGCGAAAGCUAGGGGAGCAAACGGG
This 253-nucleotide ribosomal RNA is filed under the name uncultured bacterium. RNAcentral describes it as "partial 16S ribosomal RNA". It matches the Rfam family "Bacterial small subunit ribosomal RNA", at positions 524 to 776 of the family's 1533-position model. The record is from RNAcentral.